This 331-nucleotide ribosomal RNA is filed under the name uncultured Actinomycetes bacterium. RNAcentral describes it as "bacterial SSU rRNA". It matches the Rfam family "Bacterial small subunit ribosomal RNA", at positions 28 to 351 of the family's 1533-position model. Lineage: Bacteria; Bacillati; Actinomycetota; Actinomycetes. The record is from RNAcentral.
GACGAACGCUGGCGGCGUGCUUAACACAUGCAAGUCGAACGAGAAAGCUCCUUCGGGAGUGAGUACAGUGGCGAACGGGUGAGUAACACGUGGGCAACCUGCCCUAGGGAGCGGGACAACCCGAGGAAACUCGGGCUAAUACCGCAUAAUUCGCAGUGCCUCAAGGCUCUGCGGGAAAUGGUAGCUUCGGCCUCCGCCCUAGGAUGGGCCCGCGGCGCAUUAGCUAGUUGGUGUGGGUAACGGCCCACCAAGGCGACGAUGCGUAGCUGGUCUGAGAGGACGAUCAGCCACACUGGGACUGAGACACGGCCCAGACUCCUACGGGUGGCAG